GCAAUGACGGAGCUACCAUGCAGUCGAGCGGACAGGCCCCUUCGGGGGUGCUCGAGUGGCGAACGGGGGAGUAACACGUGGGUGAUCUGCCCUGCACUUUGGGAUAAGCCUGGGAAACUGGGUCUAAUACCGAAUAAGACUCCGGACUGCAUGGUCUGGGGUGGAAAGCUUUUGCGGUGUGGGAUGGGCCCGCGGCCUAUCAGCUUGUUGGUGGGGUGAUGGCCUACCGAUGCGACGACGGGCAGCCGGCCUGACACGGUGUCCAGCCACACUGGGACUGACAUACGGCCCUCACUCCUACGGGAGGCAACCCUGGGGAAUAUUGCACAAUGGGCGCAAGCCUGAUGCAGCGACGCCGCGUGAGGGAUGACGGCCUUCGGGUUGUAAACCUCUUUCGCCAGGGACGAAGCGCAAGUGACGGUACCUGGAGAAGAAGCACCGGCCAACUACGUGCCAUCAGCCGCGGUAAUACGUAAGGUGCGAGCGUUGUCCGGAAUUACUGGGCGUAGAGAGCUCGUAGGUGGUUUGUCGCGUUGUUCCUGAAAACUCACAGCUUAACUGUGGGAGAGCGGACUAUACCUCCAAACUGGAAUACUGCAUGGGAGACUGGAAUUCCUGGUGUAGCGGUGGAAUGCGCAUAUAUCAGGAGGAACACCGGUGGAGAAGGCGGGUCUCUGGGCAGUAACUGACGCUGAGGAGCGAAAGCGUGGGGAGCGAACAGGAUUAGAUACCCUGGUAGUCCACGCCGUAAACGGUGGGUACUAGGUGUGGGAUUCCUUCCUCGGGAUCCAGUGCCGUAGCUAACGCAUUAAGUACCCCGCCUGACGAGUACGGCCCACAAGGCUAGGACUCAAAUGGAAUUUGAUUGGGGCCCCCACAAGCAGCUGAUCAUGCCUAUUCAUUCUAUGCAACGCGCAUAGACUUACUUGCGUUUGACAUGCACAGGACGACUGCAGAGAUGUCGUUUCUCUUGUCGACCUGUGUGCAGGAGAUGCAUGGCUGUCGUCAGCUACGUGUCGUGACAUGUAUCGCUAAGUUCCCCGCAACGAGUGCUGGCCCCUUUCUUCAUGAUAGCUCCGCCACGAUAAGCUGGGAGAACUCGGUGAGGAGACUGCUCGAGUCAUCUCGGACCAAAGUGGUGAUGACCUCCACGUCGAUCAUGCCCCUAAUGAUCCAUGGCUUCACUCCAUGCUAACUAGUGGUCCGCUACGAUGGCUGUCUAUGCCCGUGAAGCGCUCGAAGCGAUCCUAUUCCAAGCUGAAUCCUCAGUAUCAGGAUCGAUG
RNAcentral lists this ribosomal RNA (1283 nucleotides) under Mycolicibacterium sp. RNAcentral describes it as "bacterial SSU rRNA". It matches the Rfam family "Bacterial small subunit ribosomal RNA", at positions 35 to 1303 of the family's 1533-position model. The record is from RNAcentral. Lineage: Bacteria; Bacillati; Actinomycetota; Actinomycetes; Mycobacteriales; Mycobacteriaceae.